UACGUAGGGUGCAAGCGUUGUCCGGAAUUAUUGGGCGUAAAGAGCUCGUAGGCGGUCUGUCGCGUCGGCUGUGAAAUCCCGAGGCUCAACCUCGGGUCUGCAGUCGAUACGGGCAGACUAGAGUGCGGUAGGGGAGAUUGGAAUUCCUGGUGUAGCGGUGGAAUGCGCAGAUAUCAGGAGGAACACCGAUGGCGAAGGCAGAUCUCUGGGCCGUAACUGACGCUGAGGAGCGAAAGCGUGGGGAGCGAACAGG
RNAcentral lists this ribosomal RNA (253 nucleotides) under uncultured bacterium. RNAcentral's name for it is "partial 16S ribosomal RNA". It matches the Rfam family "Bacterial small subunit ribosomal RNA", at positions 524 to 776 of the family's 1533-position model. The record is from RNAcentral.